This 567-nucleotide non-coding RNA is filed under the name Pongo abelii (Sumatran orangutan). The record is from RNAcentral. Lineage: Eukaryota; Metazoa; Chordata; Mammalia; Primates; Hominidae.
AAAACGCGGGCACCCCUCGAGCUACUUCAUCGCCUUUUAACCUGUUGCUGGAUCUUUCCAGAUCACCUCACCACAUCACCCAGCCACUCUGCCCAAUGGGAGGGCAGACAGUGUUCCAGUGUGGGAGGAAGGGGUGUAAGGUGCAGGUAGUAUGUGAGGAGGGCACCAAAGAGAGUUACUGCGAGAAAGUCUGCAUGGUCAAAAGGUGGAUUACCAAGAACAAAGCAUCAUAAUGUUGUCCAGUUGAGCCCAGCCCCUUUUCUGAGGCCUCCCUUGACCAGAUAUGAUUAAAUAUUUAUCGAACUAAGGACUCAGCUUACUUGGAGUGAAAACUCUUCAGGGCCUCUCAGAGCUACCUAAGAUAAGUACCUUAUUUUACUAGCUCUCAAAUAAAGCUUCUUUUAUGCUCUGUCUUUUUGAUAUAUAAAAUAAGGUCUAAUUAGAAAGUUUUAUAAUGGAGGCAGUCAAUUCCCCAAUUCCUUAUUUGUUUGAAUUAACUUUUAAAAAAUUGGUGUGUUCACUCUGGUGUUGGCUCAAUCCAGACUCUGUAAUCAGCCAACAAUCUGU